CGUAGGUGCAAGCGUUAAUCGGAAUUACUGGGCGUAAAGCGUGCGCAGGCGGUUGUGCAAGUCUGAUGUGAAUCCCCGGGCUUAACCUGGGAACUGCAUUGGAGACUGCACGGCUAGAGUGCGUCAGAGGGGGUGGAAUUCCGCGUGUAGCAGUGAAAUGCGUAGAGAUGCGGAGGAACACCGAUGGCGAAGGCAGCCCCUGGGAUGACACUGACGCUCAUGCACGAAAGCGUGGGAGCAAACAGGAUU
Molecule: ribosomal RNA, 249 nt
Filed under: uncultured bacterium
Lineage: Bacteria
Description: partial 16S ribosomal RNA
Rfam family: Bacterial small subunit ribosomal RNA
Source: RNAcentral